UGCUAAUUCUGGCAGGCCUGGCAUGCAAUUAACAUUCCAAUUUAUCCCACAGGAAUUGUCAAGGAUGUUAUUGUACGCUGCAGCUUUAAAGUUUGCUUGUGCUGGAACCAGGGGCCCAAAACCUGAAAAACAGCCCCAGACCAAUAUUCCUCCUCCACAAAACUUUAUGCAUUCAGCUUUUCCACCAGCAGAAAAAGACUACCCAUUUUCCAGUGCCUUACUGUGAAUGAACUCUACAGUGACUGUCUCAACACUAAUCAUUAUGCAUACAUCUGCAAGACUCAUCUUCCCACUGCACCGCUAAUGAUGUUCCGCUCUGUUAAACAGAACAGAUUCCUCUGCUUUCAUAUUCCAAUUAAAACGUUUCCUCUCACCCAAAAUGCCACUGGAAUCCUGUCCCCUUGCUUCCCUAAACACUGCUGUUCAGAUGUUUUCCAGCACCCAAUCUAUGUUUUAUUCAUUAUUUUCUCAAUACAUCAGCCCACAAAGAA
Long non-coding RNA from Xenopus laevis (African clawed frog), 491 nucleotides. RefSeq lists it as uncharacterized. The transcript is spliced from 2 exons. The record is from RefSeq and is a predicted model, not a curated record. Lineage: Eukaryota; Metazoa; Chordata; Amphibia; Anura; Pipidae.